UCCGGAGAUCAACUGAUGACAUUUGUUCACUAAAUUAAUACAUCCACUCAAGAUUGCUUUUGAGGCCCCCCUUUUCAGUAAAAUUAAAGGUCAAAAGUUGGUGAAAUUGUCACGGGGUUCAUGAUUGGGUGGAGCCUUCUUCUCUCUGAGGCAUGCAGGGGUAUCAGUAACCCCAAUGUUUCACCACACAAUCUUUUUAAAAGCACUCUGAAAACAAACACACAGGAUGGACUGCCAUCACCAGGACUCACACUACAGCGCCAAGUCUCUGGACGGAGCAGGGAAAAUGGGAUUUCGAGGAUGUCAAGACCUGGAUUAGUUGUACCAUGAGGGAGUCAUGAGAAGAUUUUAGUAAUAGAGGACCAGCCAUCCCUCCCCUUUCCACCGUCUUUUACUUCCCAGAGUCUGACAUAUGGGUAAUCUCAGUACAGAACAACUACGUGGCUCCAAACGGUAUUUGAACACUUAAGGCACAAAUAAAUGUAUGAAUGUUCUUGCAUUAGAUAAUAAAAUGAUCCAAAGCUUCAUCGACAAGCAAAUUAUUCUGGAGUAUUGCUUCACUUUUCUUAGCCAUUUUUGCAAUUGCUUCUACUAAUUCUAGUAAUCAAUUGCAGAGGUAAGCUCUCCUACCAAAGUGAAAUGUUUUGCUUGUGUGCUUGUACUAUCUUUCUUUAAACAAAUGCCAUUUGGUUUGAUAUUUUGUUAUGUAAUGCGACUAUAUUCAUGCAUUAUAAGUGGCUUAAGUGUCCACCUUUUUUUUUUGUUUUCCGUGGCCACUGCUCAUCAUACAAACAACAAAGAAUAAUUGAUCAUGUUUUAAUGUUCCAGUAGGUGCCAUUCUGUAUGUGAGAAAGGCACAGAGAGAGGUGUUUGUUUAUUGUGUUUAUUGUUGUGGUGUGGUUAUGUGGGGUGGCUUAACCAUUUGAAAGAACAGCACUGUUAACUCAACACCAUUAUAAUGGUUGUGAUUAAUCAGAGCCGUGCUGGCGCUUUAUACUCUAAACUAUCAUUCUCUCACCAGAUGGCUCUCUGCAUUUGUUAAGAAACUCAAUCUUUUGUAGUGGAGGGUUUUUCUUAAUGUGUAUCUUGCCUGACCCCUUAAAUCCUGGUUUAUCUUGAUCUAUUUGACUCUGAAUGUCACCCAACAUGCCAACCCUGAGUUCAUCUCAAGUUGCAGGAGACUGCUGAUCUCCAGUGAUGGAUGUUUAAUUGAAGACAACAGGGGCACCUAGCUUCCUCAAGAUUACCAAUUCCAGCCCCAAAAAAGUGUAAGCUAAACUGCUGUAGUGUAAAUGUGUUUGUAGCCCCUGUUGCAACGCAUGCUGUUAUGGUAUUAUUGAUCUGUGACAGAUAUUUUGUUCCAACAAUGUUCCAAAAAUGUUCCAACAGCUCAGCCAACUGAAAGACCACAUGAACUCAAAAUUGGAGAUUUGUGGCUUUUAGUUUAUGUCUGUCAGAUUUGAGGUCAUCUGUAUGCUUGUGUACUCAAAGUUGCUCACAUUAUCUUUCAACAGAUAUAGAGCCCAUUUAUAAUGUAGAGUGACUAUUUCCAUGUACAGUAUUACUCUUCUGGGAAAACAGACAUAAAAUAUUGAAUACACAUCAGAAUUAAAAACAUUACUGCCCUAUAAACUGCUCUCUAGAAUGAAAGGACCCUCCUCUAAAACACCUACUUCUGACUAGCAAUAGUGAGUAGCAAAUCAUGGUUCAUGGCUGAGACAUCAACUAAAGGCAAUUGGCCAUUAAAAAAGGGAUGAGUCAAUUUCCUGUUUCAAUAGUUCAACAGUGCCCACACAAUUUUUUAAACCAUCUUGGUUCCUGAAGUAUUUUUCUCCUAAAUUUUUUCCAUAGGGAUUUCAUAAGAUUUAAAUAAAAAAAUUAAACCAUAAACCAAACCAACCCACUCAGAGCUGAAUCACAAUAUUACAGACUUUGAUUUAAGGCAAAAAGUAUUUUUCAAAUCGGACAAAAACGUUUUCAUGAGUACAUGAACUACACUACCAUGAAGCACUGCAAAUUAUGUAAUUUAAUUAAAAACAAUUGUAAUUAUGCAUUGCAAUAUUCUUUAAAGAUAUAUACGAAUAUAAGUAGUUUGAGAGUGUAGGGAGUUCAACACGAUUGCAUCAUUUACAGUGCAUCAUGGAAGUGGUCGCUCGCUGAAGGGCUCUUUUCGUGUGAUUGUUUGCUGUGAUUCUCUGAUUAGUAGAUCUUUCUCAGCAGGAUCAUGAGUAAUGUAGUUAUUGACCACAAAUUCCACUGUAAAACAUAAUUUUUGGAUUUGAUGAUAAAUGCGGACUGAGUUCGGAGUGUUCAAAAAAGUAUUUUGAACGUUUUUUUAUUUUUAUAGAAUUCCAUUUGGCAGACCUGGUGGUGCAUAAAUUGCACACUUCAGCAUUUAAGGUGUAUGAGUUAUAGUUACUAAUCAAUUCCCCUUUGGAAUUGGAAUGGAAUUUUUACUUCCGGAAUCAAACAGUUGAACUAUAUUACAAAAUACAGAAAAAAAUGCCUGUCAAUCAAUUUCAUGAUGUCUGUAAAGAAAGAUUUUUUGAAAAUAUCCAAGGAUAUGGACAGCCCCUCUACAAUUGUUCUUGAGAGACAAAUAAAGCAAGUUUGAGGUGUGGGGCUGAGAGCUGUACAGCUGAAUGUGUGUAAAGGAUUCUGUAGUAAGUGUCUGUAAAAAUAAUAAUACUAUGGUGCUUUAACAAAAGCUAAACAAGCUGAAUAUAUUCUUAAUUUGAAUAAAGUCGAACACUAUGUUAUGUAUAUAUGUGUAUAUAUGUGUGUAUAUAUGUGUGUAUAUAUAUAUAUAUAUAAUAUCAAAUGGUGCUGCUGCUGUUUUUGUUAACUCGUGACAGAGAACCAGUAUGUGUAUUUGUUUGUUGUCGGCUGUAGAGAACAUUGGUUUGACAGGUUGAAAUGUAGUCCAGAAACAUGUUGCCUAGAAACUAAUAGAAUGAAUAACCCAAUAUGUAUGUUUGUCCUAGUAUAGGUAACCAUUGGCAACAGCAAAAUCUCUUGUCUUUUAUGUUAACAUACUCAUAUUAGAUUACUUUCUUUAAGAAGUAUGAGAAAAUGUAUCUGUCAAGGAUCUGCUAGAUGUGUUUUUUUGUAUUCAGACAUGA
This is a long non-coding RNA of Xyrauchen texanus (razorback sucker), 3122 nucleotides long. RefSeq lists it as uncharacterized. The record is from RefSeq and is a predicted model, not a curated record. Lineage: Eukaryota; Metazoa; Chordata; Actinopteri; Cypriniformes; Catostomidae. The transcript is spliced from 3 exons.